This 253-nucleotide ribosomal RNA is filed under the name uncultured bacterium. RNAcentral's name for it is "partial 16S ribosomal RNA". It matches the Rfam family "Bacterial small subunit ribosomal RNA", at positions 524 to 776 of the family's 1533-position model. The record is from RNAcentral.
UACGUAGGGUGCAAGCGUUGUCCGGAAUUAUUGGGCGUAAAGAGCUCGUAGGCGGUUUGUUGCGUCGGCUGUGAAAUCCCGAGGCUCAACCUCGGGUCUGCAGUCGAUACGAGCAAACUAGAGUGUUGCAGGGGAGACUGGAAUUCCUGGUGUAGCGGUGAAAUGCGCAGAUAUCAGGAGGAACACCGAUGGCGAAGGCAGGUCUCUGGGCCAUAACUGACGCUGAGGUGCGAAAGCGUGGGGAGCAAACAGG